GAUGAACGCUAGCGGGAGGCCUAACACAUGCAAGCCGAGCGGUAUUGUUUCUUCGGAAAUGAGAGAGCGGCGUACGGGUGCGUAACACGUGUGCAACCUGCCUUUAUCUGGGGGAUAGCCUUUCGAAAGGAAGAUUAAUACUCCAUAAUAUAUUGAACGGCAUCGUUUAAUAUUGAAAGCUCCGGCGGAUAGAGAUGGGCACGCGCAAGAUUAGCUAGUUGGUGAGGUAACGGCUCACCAAGGCGAUGAUCUUUAGGGGGCCUGAGAGGGUGAUCCCCCACACUGGUACUGAGACACGGACCAGACUCCUACGGGAGGCAGCAGUGAGGGAUAUUGGCCAAUGGGUGCAAGCCUGAACCAGCCAUCCCGCGUGAAGGACGACUGCCCUAUGGGUUGUAAACUUCUUUUGUAUAGGGAUAAACCUACCCUCGAGAGGGUAGCUGAAGGUACUAUACGAAUAAGCACCGGCUAACUCCGUG
RNAcentral lists this ribosomal RNA (479 nucleotides) under uncultured bacterium. RNAcentral's name for it is "partial 16S ribosomal RNA". It matches the Rfam family "Bacterial small subunit ribosomal RNA", at positions 28 to 507 of the family's 1533-position model. The record is from RNAcentral.